UGGUGCAAGACAUUGUGUAUCCUAAAUAAUGAGGAUCAGUAUUCCAAAAAUUGUUGUUCUUAAUUUCUUAACUCCGACUCCUGUGAUGAACAUGUACGUAAAAACCUAGGGAAAUUACGAUUAUAUAGAAACUAAAAUAGGUGGAAAUUUUAUGGGACACGAUAAAAGGCGAGGAUAAGGAGCGAGAGAUUAAAGUUGAGGAGGAAGGCAACCCUGUCCGCGUUUCGACCUAAAGAUGGUGUAACAUUUCCACUGUCCGACACCGUAUUCUGUUCACUAUUUUCCCUGAGCUGUGACAGUGAAUUUAAUUCAUCAACAUCAAUGAACGUUGUCAUUGGUUCCGUUUGGUCUUCACUCAUGGGUUCCUUCACGUUUUUCUGAGAUAGAUCUUCAUCAAAAGACACUGUGACUGCAGAAUCUUUACCACCAUAGUUAGUAAAGGUUAGGUUAGGCCAUACUGCAGGUCAUUGUCCUUGGUUGUCAUGUUACUUUUUACAAAGAAAGUACUGAUUUUCGACAGGGAUGAAUCCGAUGAUUCCAUCACUGGAUGACAUUUUACUUUUUUACCUUUGUGAACCAAUCGAGAAUGCACCUCUUUAUAAUCACUGUCGAUUUCCUUAUUGCAUUGCUCGCACCAUGGAUAAUAAAAUAAAUGGAUAGGAAACUAGCUGACG
Paramuricea clavata is the source of this 674-nucleotide non-coding RNA. The record is from the annotation of a GenBank genome assembly. NCBI's taxonomy places the organism in Eukaryota, Metazoa, Cnidaria, Anthozoa, Malacalcyonacea, Plexauridae.